RNAcentral lists this ribosomal RNA (253 nucleotides) under uncultured bacterium. RNAcentral describes it as "partial 16S ribosomal RNA". It matches the Rfam family "Bacterial small subunit ribosomal RNA", at positions 524 to 776 of the family's 1533-position model. The record is from RNAcentral.
UACGUAGGGGGCAAGCGUUGUCCGGAAUCAUUGGGCGUAAAGCGCGUGUAGGCGGCCCGAUAAGUCCGCUGUGAAAGUCCAGGGCUCAACCCUGGAAUGCCGGUGGAUACUGUCGGGCUCGAGUCCGGAAGAGGCGAGUGGAAUUCCUGGUGUAGCGGUGAAAUGCGCAGAUAUCAGGAGGAACACCGAUGGCGAAGGCAGCUCGCUGGGACGGUACUGACGCUAAGGCGCGAAAGCGUGGGGAGCAAACAGG